Lynx canadensis (Canada lynx) is the source of this 516-nucleotide long non-coding RNA. RefSeq lists it as uncharacterized. The transcript is spliced from 3 exons. Lineage: Eukaryota; Metazoa; Chordata; Mammalia; Carnivora; Felidae. The record is from RefSeq and is a predicted model, not a curated record.
AUGGAUUCAGAGAGGACUCAUGGACACCCCGACAGACCCUGCCCUCGAGGGGCCUAGUCUGCACAAGGCAGCAAGCUAGGUGCCGUCCCCAGUGACCCAGAGUGUGAGGCUUGGAGAGCUCAUGGAAAGGGCCUUGCCUUAGAUCCCACAGCCAGAAAGCAGAGGCACCAGGAAUGAAAGGAGUUUCCAAGUCCAGCUGGCAGCCUUGUCCCUCCACACCAGGCUGCUCCAAGUGCCAAGGGAUGCCAGGAAGCUCAGUCCACCCGCGCCAGGUCCUGCCCAGGAGAACUGGGGGCCUGUGGUGGACCUACUGAAGGAAGACCCUGCCAUCGGAUAAUGUUUACCCAGGUGUCAAUCAGGAGAAGAAUUUGGCUUCCUAAUUUUCUCUUCUCCUCCCCGGGGGCCACGCGUCUCCCCGCCUCACAUGGACCACUGAGCUGGAAUCAAGGUUACUAAUAAUCCCCCGCACACACAGACACCGAGAGCACAUAUAUUAAAGUCACAUAUUGAUUUAUA